AAGAUGGCUGCCAGGUGCGGUGGCUAAGCCUGGGGACAUAUGAAGCCGGUGCCGACCAUCAGGGCCGAGUUGUGACGAGAGAGCAUGUCGAUGUUAAGAUAUUAAGCCGAGUUGGUCCGGUGGCCAUGGAUGAAGUGCUGGCUGUCCAGAGUCGGGACCCGGGGUGGACCGCUCGCCUGUGCAUCGGCUGGGAACAUCUCUACGCUGCUGACCCGUCUCCGCUCGGGAUGGUGUCCUGCUGGCCCCACUAUGGACUGGACUCUUACUAUUAUGUUGGAUCCACUAUGGACUGGACUCUCACAAUAUUAUGUCAGACCCACUCGACAUCCAUUGCUUUCGGUCUCCCCUAGAGGGGGGGGGGGUUACCCACAUAUGCGGUCCUCUCCAAGGUUUCUCAUAGUCAUUCACAUCGACGUCCCACUGGGGUGAGUUUUUCCUUGCCCGUAUGUGGGCUUUGUACCGAGGAUGUCGUUGUGGCUUGUGCAGCCCUUUGAGACACUUGUGAUUUAGGGCUAUAUAAAUAAAGAUUGAUUGAUUGAUUGAUGUAUGUAUGUAUGUCUCAAGAGGGUAACAAAUAUGUGUGUGUGUUUUCAACUCUUUUUUUGUUGUUGUUCUGUAAAGCACUUUGUGUUGCCACGAGCCUUUGCAAGAAAAGUGCUGUAUGAAUAAAGUUUGACUGAUUGAGUAAAAAGCUAAAGAAAUGCACCCAAGUUGUUUACAAAAGCGAUAAUAACAACAAUACAACAUCUUUAAUAAAAAUUAAGUGAAUAAACAAAUAACAUCAUCUAAUAUUAAUGUGAUUAGGGACAGUGGGGAAGUGUGUGUUUGCUAUAGUUGUGUGUGUGUGUGUGUGUGUUUUCAACUCUUCUUUCUUUUUUUGUUGUUCUGUAAAGCACUUUGUGUUGCCAGGAGGCUGUGCAUGAAAAGUGCUGUACAUUUUGACUGAUUGACUUGUCCAGGGUGUACCCCGCCUUCCGCCCGAAUGCAGCUGAGAUAGGCUCCAGCGACCCCCCGCGACCUCGAAAGGGACAAGCGGUAGAAAAUGGAUGGAUGGAUGAAUGAUUAAAAAGCUAAACAAAUGCA
Long non-coding RNA from Nerophis lumbriciformis (worm pipefish), 1083 nucleotides. RefSeq lists it as uncharacterized. Lineage: Eukaryota; Metazoa; Chordata; Actinopteri; Syngnathiformes; Syngnathidae. The record is from RefSeq and is a predicted model, not a curated record.